RNAcentral lists this ribosomal RNA (312 nucleotides) under uncultured bacterium. Its description in RNAcentral is "partial 16S ribosomal RNA". It matches the Rfam family "Bacterial small subunit ribosomal RNA", at positions 355 to 659 of the family's 1533-position model. The record is from RNAcentral.
UGGGGAAUAUUGCACAAUGGGCGCAAGCCUGAUGCAGCCAUGCCGCGUGUGUGAAGAAGGCCUUCGGGUUGUAAAGCACUUUCAGCGAGGAGGAAGGCAUUAAGGUUAAUAACCUUAGUGAUUGACGUUACUCGCAGAAGAAGCACCGGCUAACUCCGUGCCAGCAGCCGCGGUAAUACGGAGGGUGCAAGCGUUAAUCGGAAUUACUGGGCGUAAAGCGCACGCAGGCGGUUUGUUAAGUCAGAUGUGAAAUCCCCGAGCUUAACUUGGGAACUGCAUUUGAAACUGGCAAGCUAGAGUCUUGUAGAGGGG